This 309-nucleotide ribosomal RNA is filed under the name uncultured Sphingobacteriales bacterium. RNAcentral's name for it is "bacterial SSU rRNA". It matches the Rfam family "Bacterial small subunit ribosomal RNA", at positions 1076 to 1382 of the family's 1533-position model. The record is from RNAcentral. Lineage: Bacteria; Pseudomonadati; Bacteroidota; Sphingobacteriia; Sphingobacteriales.
CGGGUUAAGUCCCAUAACGAGCGCAACCCUUAUCGUUAGUUGCCAGCGGGUAAUGCCGGGGACUCUAGCGAAACUGCCGGUGUAAACCGAGAGGAAGGUGGGGAUGACGUCAAAUCAGCACGGCCCUUAUGUCCAGGGCUACACACGUGUUACAAUGGCCGGUACAGAGGGCAGCUACCUGGAGACAGGAUGCGAAUCUCGAAAGCCGGUCUCAGUUCGGAUCGGAGUCUGCAACUCGACUCCGUGAAGCUGGAUUCGCUAGUAAUCGCGCAUCAGCCAUGGCCGCGGUCCGAAUACGUUCCGGGCCUU